Molecule: RNase P RNA, 455 nt
Filed under: Alicyclobacillus sp. SO9
Lineage: Bacteria; Bacillati; Bacillota; Bacilli; Caryophanales; Alicyclobacillaceae
Description: Bacterial RNase P class A
Rfam family: Bacterial RNase P class A
About the family: Ribonuclease P (RNase P) is a ubiquitous endoribonuclease, found in archaea, bacteria and eukarya as well as chloroplasts and mitochondria. Its best characterised activity is the generation of mature 5'-ends of tRNAs by cleaving the 5'-leader elements of precursor-tRNAs. Cellular RNase Ps are ribonucleoproteins.
Source: Rfam by way of RNAcentral
GAAGUAAGCUGGGUAAUCGCCGGUGCAAAGCUGAAAGGCUGCACGGGAGGAAAGUCCGAGCUCCACAGGGCAGGGUGCCGGAUAACGUCCGGCGGGAGCAAUCCUAGGGAUAGUGCCACAGAAAUGUAGACCGCCGAUGGAUGUGUGUUGCUUGCAGCACCGUCACAGGCAAGGAUGCAACGGUGCGGUAAGAGCGCACCAGCAGCCUGGAGACAGGCUGGCUAGGUAAACCCCACCUGGAGCAAGACCGGAUAGGAGUGCAUAUGCGGCGGCCCGUCGCGCACUCGGGUUGGUCGCUGGAGCGGAUUGGCAACAAUUCGCCUAGAUAGAUGGUUACCGCCCAUUGUGCGAGGCAGAACAUGUUGACGCGAUUGCCAUUAGACGAUUGGCGCGGCAUCAGUAUGCCGUUUGCAGCACGGGGACACAGAACUCGGCUUACAGGACUUGCUUCCAAC